UACGUAGGGUGCAAGCGUUAAUCGGAAUUACUGGGCGUAAAGCGUGCGCAGGCGGUUUUGUAAGUCUGUCGUGAAAGCCCCGGGCUCAACCUGGGAAUUGCGAUGGAGACUGCAAGGCUUGAAUCUGGCAGAGGGGGGUAGAAUUCCACGUGUAGCAGUGAAAUGCGUAGAGAUGUGGAGGAAUACCGAUGGCGAAGGCAGCCCCCUGGGUCAAGAUUGACGCUCAUGCACGAAAGCGUGGGGAGCAAACAGG
RNAcentral lists this ribosomal RNA (253 nucleotides) under uncultured bacterium. RNAcentral's name for it is "partial 16S ribosomal RNA". It matches the Rfam family "Bacterial small subunit ribosomal RNA", at positions 524 to 776 of the family's 1533-position model. The record is from RNAcentral.